AGUGAACGCUGGCGGUAGGCCUAACACAUGCAAGUCGAACGGCAGCACAGUAAGAGCUUGCUCUUACGGGUGGCGAGUGGCGGACGGGUGAGGAAUACAUCGGAAUCUACUUUUUCGUGGGGGGUAACGUAGGGAAACUUACGCUAAUACCGCAUACGACCUACGGGUGAAAGCAGGGGAUCUUCGGACCUUGCGCGAUUGAAUGGGCCGAUGUCGGAUUAGCUAGUUGGCGGGGUAAAGGCCCACCAAGGCGACGAUCCGUAGCUGGUCUGAGAGGAUGAUCAGCCACACUGGAACUGAGACACGGUCCAGACUCCUACGGGAGGCAGCAGUGGGGAAUAUUGGACAAUGGGCGCAAGCCUGAUCCAGCCAUACCGCGUGGGUGAAGAAGGCCUUCGGGUUGUAAAGCCCUUUUGUUGGGAAAGAAAAGCAGCAGGUUAAUACCCCGCUGUUCUGACGGUACCCAAAGAAUAAGCACCGGCUAACUUCGUG
RNAcentral lists this ribosomal RNA (492 nucleotides) under uncultured bacterium. Its description in RNAcentral is "partial 16S ribosomal RNA". It matches the Rfam family "Bacterial small subunit ribosomal RNA", at positions 29 to 507 of the family's 1533-position model. The record is from RNAcentral.